This 403-nucleotide ribosomal RNA is filed under the name Verrucomicrobiota bacterium. RNAcentral's name for it is "Verrucomicrobia bacterium partial 16S ribosomal RNA". It matches the Rfam family "Bacterial small subunit ribosomal RNA", at positions 355 to 776 of the family's 1533-position model. Lineage: Bacteria; Pseudomonadati; Verrucomicrobiota. The record is from RNAcentral.
UGGGGAAUAUUGCACAAUGGGGGAAACCCUGAUGCAGCGACGCCGCGUGAGCGAAGAAGGUUUUCGAAUCGUAAAGCUCUGUCCUAUGAGAAGAUAAUGACGGUAUCAUAGGAGGAAGCCCUGGCUAAAUACGUGCCAGCAGCCGCGGUAAUACGUAUGGGGCGAGCGUUGUCCGGAAUUAUUGGGCGUAAAGGGUACGUAGGCGGUUUUUUAAGUCAGGUGUCAAAGCGUGGAGCUUAACUCCAUUAAGCACUUGAAACUGAAAGACUUGAGUGAAGGAGAGGAAAGUGGAAUUCCUAGUGUAGCGAUGAAAUGCGUAGAUAUUAGGAGGAAUACCGGUGGCGAAGGCGACUUUCUGGACUUUUACUGACGCUCAGGUACGAAAGCGUGGGGAGCAAACAGG